GACGAACGCUGGCGGCGUGCUUAACACAUGCAAGUCGAACGGAAAGGCCCUGCUUUUGUGGGGUGCUCGAGUGGCGAACGGGUGAGUAACACGUGAGUAACCUGCCCUUGACUUUGGGAUAACUUCAGGAAACUGGGGCUAAUACCGGAUAGGAGCUCCUGCUGCAUGGUGGGGGUUGGAAAGUUUCGGCGGUUGGGGAUGGACUCGCGGCUUAUCAGCUUGUUGGUGGGGUAGUGGCUUACCAAGGCUUUGACGGGUAGCCGGCCUGAGAGGGGACACGGCCAAAUUGGGAACGAGAGACAGCCGAGGCUCCUACGGGAGGCAGGGGGGAAGAAUGUCGGACAAAGGCCGGGAGCCUGAUGCAGGUACGCCGCGUGCGAGAUGACGGCCUUAGGGUUGAAAACCGCUUUCGCCUGUGACGAACCGUGAGUGGCGGUAAUGGCUAAAGAAGCACCGGCGAACUACG
This 466-nucleotide ribosomal RNA is filed under the name uncultured bacterium. RNAcentral describes it as "partial 16S ribosomal RNA". It matches the Rfam family "Bacterial small subunit ribosomal RNA", at positions 28 to 505 of the family's 1533-position model. The record is from RNAcentral.